Molecule: ribosomal RNA, 253 nt
Filed under: uncultured bacterium
Lineage: Bacteria
Description: partial 16S ribosomal RNA
Rfam family: Bacterial small subunit ribosomal RNA
Source: RNAcentral
UACGGAGGGAGCUAGCGUUGUUCGGAAUUACUGGGCGUAAAGCGCACGUAGGCGGCUUUGUAAGUUAGAGGUGAAAGCCCGGGGCUCAACUCCGGAACUGCCUUUAAGACUGCAUCGCUUGAAUCCAGGAGAGGUGAGUGGAAUUCCGAGUGUAGAGGUGAAAUUCGUAGAUAUUCGGAAGAACACCAGUGGCGAAGGCGGCUCACUGGACCGGCAUUGACGCUGAGGUGCGAAAGCGUGGGGAGCAAACAGG